UUGGUGGUUCAGUGGUAGAAUUCUCGCCUGC
Molecule: non-coding RNA, 31 nt
Filed under: Xenopus tropicalis (tropical clawed frog)
Lineage: Eukaryota; Metazoa; Chordata; Amphibia; Anura; Pipidae
Also listed under: 8 other names
Source: RNAcentral